This 153-nucleotide ribosomal RNA is filed under the name uncultured bacterium. RNAcentral's name for it is "partial 16S rRNA". It matches the Rfam family "Bacterial small subunit ribosomal RNA", at positions 355 to 525 of the family's 1533-position model. The record is from RNAcentral.
UGGGGAAUAUUGCACAAUGGGCGAAAGCCUGAUGCAGCGACGCCGCGUGAGCGAAGAAGUAUUUCGGUAUGUAAAGCUCUAUCAGCAAGGAAGAUAAUGACGGUACUUGACUAAGAAGCCCCGGCUAACUACGUGCCAGCAGCCGCGGUAAUA